RNA transcript from Biomphalaria glabrata, 13246 nucleotides. It is a transcript of the gene named PP2C-like domain-containing protein CG9801, with no coding region annotated. NCBI's taxonomy places the organism in Eukaryota, Metazoa, Mollusca, Gastropoda, Planorbidae. The record is from RefSeq and is a predicted model, not a curated record. The transcript is spliced from 7 exons.
GAACAGAAACAACAAGCCUCAGCAUCGGAUCUGUUGCCUGUGGUUUAGCACCAGUUUAUUAUUAGCAUAAUGAAAUGUCUUGUUCUUUAUUUUCAUUAGAAUGAGUCAGAAUUGGCUAGUCUAUCGUUUAUUUUCACACAUGAGUAGAUAUAAAACACUUGAAAAAGGUCAUUGAGAGAAGCCUAAGUUUUGACAUGUACAACAGUGUCUCAAUAUGAUUGCUUGGAUUUCUUGGACAUCCUUUUUUUAGAGAAAGAAGAAUAAUAUAAUGUUGAUUGUUAAGUCUGAGCAUCAGACUUAAUGGUUUCAUUACCAGUUUAUACACAGUGCCCUUACAAUGGAUUAUCCUGUAGAAGAAAAAAUAAAACUCAAGAAAAUCAAGUUUGGCCCAGAGAUAUUUUAUGGAGACAAUCCAGAUGUUGUGCCCUACGUUCAGUUGUCUCCCCUGGAGGAUGAAAUUGUUGCUAGUUACACUGGCCCAGACUCUGGAUUGGCUUUUGCUGAGGGCUACACAGAAAAUAAUUAUUAUGUCAACCAAGUGGCUGGAGUUAGAGACUGGAAUUUAAGACAGCAGCAGGCUUAUGGGAUAUGCAUAUCAUUGUAUGAGCAGCACCCUAUCAGUGGCAAAAUUUCUGGAGAGCCAAUAGCUGACUGUUUUGCACUGUGUGCUAGAAGAAACAACACCAUACUGAUGGUGGCAGAUGGUGUGAACUGGGGUGAGAAGUCUCGUCUAGCUGCUCGCUGUGCUCUGUAUGGCAGUAUGAAAUAUCUCAACUAUAAAAUAUUUGAAAGGAAGCACAAACCAGAAAAUACUCAGGAUGUAGUUAGACACUUAAGAAAAGCUCUGGAUGAAGCACACAGGGCCAUCAUGGCCAAGGAAGGAGGCCUGACAACAUUGUGCCUGUGUAUGAUUUGCCCUGUGGAUAACUCUGACCAAAAUGCUGUGUGCUGUGUCAACGUAGGGGACAGCUUUGCCUUCAUUUAUUCAACCAAUCAGGGUAUCAGGGAGGUGACCAUAGGCUCACAUGAUGUGGGCAGUGAAAGAGAUAUACGUGAUGCUGGUGGCGCCAUCGGCCCGGUAGAUGGGCAGAAUCCUGAGCUGCACAACCUGACAUGCUCCGUCACAUUCUGCCACCAUGGGGACAUAGUGUUCCUUACUACCGAUGGAAUCUCUGACAAUUUUGAUCCGGUUGUGACUAAAAUUGCUCUCCCACAGAGAGCCAAUGAUUCCAACUUUAACAGUAAAGAGAAGUACAACUCAAAUGGCAGCUUGAAAUUCAAGCCAGAGCUGAGUCCAAAAGAGAGACAUGUUUAUGCAUUAAAGGAGAUGGAAAGAGUGGUCCAUGAGUAUGAACUGGUGACAGAAGAGGCUUGUUCUGCUCAGUCAUUCUGUGGUGCACUGUUGCAGCAUGUCUUGACUCUCACAGAUGACAAAAGAAAAAUAAUAGAAAAUCCUGCCAUAUAUGCAAAAAGAAAAAUGACAAAAAAGGACAGGCAGUCCAGGGACUCAGAAAUAGUAGAAAAAAUGUCUAAAGCUCCUGGCAAGCUGGACCAUGCUUCCAUAGUGGCUAUUGAGAUAGGUGCUUUUGGGAAGCCUGUGGAUGACAGUGCUUCAGCAGUUGCAGUGAAUGCCACAAGAGUGACUUCCCCUGCUGCAGUCAGGACAGUUUCCUCACCUAGAACAAUUCCAGACUCUCCUCCAACUCCAACCAAUCUCCCACUCUGUGGAUCUGUGCCGCUCUCACCUUCUAGUAACCACUCCAAGAAAUCUGGCCCAAGAAAGUUGUUUGCCAAAUUAAGAAGCUUACCCUCAUCUCCUACGUCUCCUAAUCCCCCUGUCCUCUCCUCGUCUGUGCCAAACCAACCCUCAUUUAGGCCCUUUUCACCUCCACCUCCUCAGCGUCAACCUUUGUCACCUGUCAACAACUCAACCCCAAAGUCCCCAACAAAGGUGGAAGCUAACUCAGAGUCCAGGAAAGGUCUGGAUCUUCAGUUCUCCCCUAGGAAGUUUCCCAAACGAUACCACCGUAGUAAGACUGAGGAACUGCGCACCCCUACCUCCCCAUCUAUUGCAGAGUCUCCAUUAGAAAUAGACGUCUCACCUCAGCCACCGAGGACACGAUCUCGGCCAAGGUCUUGUAUAACUUUUGAGUCCAGUGUUUAGAGGGCAUGGUAGCAUGUUAAGUUGGGGCUGUUGGCACAGUUUUAUUUUAUCUCCUUGUUGUUGAAAGCUUUUUUGUGUGUGUGUGUGUGUGUGUGUUUGUAUUUUGAAAUGUGAUCCAGCUGUGUGCUCAGUGUUUAGAAGCAUGUUACAGUUGUUUCCAUUAGGUAUUGGUCUAUUUGACAGCUGAACAAAACAAAUGUAUUCUCACACUUGUCUCAGUUCACUUGUACUAUUAUUUUAUCUGUGUCCUUAGCUGGCACAUGAUGCUUUGUUUCUAAAUAUUGUUAUAUGUGCAUGUCUGGAAAGCAUUGUGCUUCUCUUUCUGCAUUACAUAUAUAUUCGCCCCUCUGCAUACUGUUUAGUAAUGAAGUCACUGCAAUUUUGUUUUGAUUACUUCUAAAACUUGCUAAAAAAAAUUUUUUUUGGGGGGAUAUAUCUUACUGAUAUAUAUUGCAAAGAUUUUUUCAUUAGGACAUUAAGAAAAAAGAAAAAUUCUUUAUUUAUAAGAAACAUAUAAGUCAUUACAAUGUUAACAAAAAAAUCUAGAACACAAGUGUGAUAAUUUUGCUUUUAAAUUGCUUGUAUAACAUUACAAUGAUUGGUAGAUAGUGAAUGCAGAAAAUAAAUAGCUUCAAGAUUUUUAACUCAAGAUAGUAACUAUUUAACUAGCUAUUUCUUGUUUACUAUAGAAUUAACAUUUACUUUUGUGCCAGACAUAAGAAAAAAGCAUUUUUACUUGAUGAAAUAGUAUUUUUAUUUGCAAAGAUUUCAAGAGAAAAAAAAAAUUUGAUAAAAUAGUAUUUUUUAUUUACAAAGAUUGAUGAGAAAAGAGUCCUUGUAAACACAACAAAUUUCCAUAAGGAUCAAUAAAGCAGUCUUAGUCUUAGGGAAAAAGAGGGGAAAAAAUUACUUUUGACUUAAUGAAAUUGUUUUCUUGUUAUUUGCAAACUUUUAAAAUUCUUUUCUUCAUUUUCUGUUCCUCUUCUGAUCUUAUAAUAAUAGAGCUGAAUAAUCCUUCUGAUCCAAUCAGUAUGUGAUGCAUGUCUCCAUAUUUUCUUUUUGUUUAUUGAGUAACACAUUUUAUCCUUUUUUCACUCAGCUUACUUUUUUAUAUUUACUUCCCUUAGGCCAUACUAUUUACACAUGUUUAGAAUUGUAUUUACUUUGUUACCACAUUAGUUUGUGCAAUUUAUUGUUGAGAAUUACAAACAAAAUUCAGCUCAAGUAUUUUUCUUGUAUACUUUUACAUAUACGUAUAGAUACAACUGACUUGAUUGACACAGGGUAAACUGGCAGCUAUUUGAUUUCUUGAACAAUAUAUGAAUUCUUUAUGAUGUAUCAUUUGUAGCACAUUGACAUAUAUAAGUAUCAAUUAUUAGUUCAAACUUAAAGAUUGCAAAUAAUCUAUAAUACAUAUAUACAGAAUAUAUAUAUAAAAUAUAUUUAUACAUGAUAUAAACCAGUGAUGCCCAAAGUACGGCCCGCGGGCCGACGUGGUUUCAUCCGGCCCGCCGAAACGUCGGCACAAAAGUAGAAAAUCCUCACCCCUUCAAAAAUGUUAGGGCUCUCACUUUUUCUCUGAUGGAUUGUAAAAAAAUAACGAUUGUGUGUUUAUGAGUUUAUGAAAUGGGACUCUGAAUGUAGAAUCUACCAAGAAAAGUGAAUGUAUCUUUUUUGUGGAACAUGAUAAUAAGCCAACAUAUUUGUUUUGUAAAGAAAGUCUGGCUGUUUCAGAAACAACAACAUAUACAGCGGCAUUAUAAAACAAAUAUGAAGACCUUUUUAGUUUGAGCCGAGUAUAAAAAAAAGAUUGGUCAAACUACGCCUAGAGAUUGGAGGAUCGAUGGGAAUAUCAAUCAAAAAGAGACAAGAAAAUAAGUUGGUGGUAAAGGUAGCUACAAUGUCGCUCACAUUUUAAGUAGAGAAAUGAACCCAUUUUUAGACACGUAGAAAAUGAUAGACUUUAAAUAUCUCAUUAAUUAAUACUAGAUCCAAUUUUUCAAAUAGUUUCAGGUGAAUUUGGAUUUCAUUUUUUUACCUUUUUGUUGAUGUGGCCCGCGACACGCAUGUCGAAAGUUAAAAUGGCCCGCAGGUCGAAUUCGGUUGAGCAUCACUGAUAUAAACCAUGAAAGCCAGGCAGCAACAACUCUUUAAUUAUGUUCAAGUUGGGGUAAUUGUUAUUUAUCAUUAAUACCAAGUUUCUGUUGAUUCUUACUUUCUUUUUAAUAUCUGACAGCACUUGGGAAUAAAUUCUAUCAAUUCUUACUUUCUUUUUAAUAUCUGACAGCACUUGGGAAUAAUUCUGUCAAUUCUUACUUUCUAUUUAAUAUCUCACAGCUCUUAUGAAGAAAUUCUGUCAAUUCUUACUUUCUUUUUAAUAUCUCACAGCUCUUAUAAAGAAAUUCUGUCAAUUCUUACUUUCUUUUUAAUAUCUCACAGCUCAUAUGAAGAAAUUCUGUCAAUUCUUACUUUCUAUUUAAUAUCUCACAGCACUUGGGAAUAAAUUCUGUCAAUUCCUACUUUCUUUUUAAUAUCUCACAGCUCUUAUGAAGAAAUUCUGUCAAUUCUUACUUUCUUUUUAAUAUCUCACAGCUCUUAUGAAGAAAUUCUGUCAAUUCUUACUUUCUUUUUAAUAUCUCACAGCACUUGGGAAUAAAUUCUGUCAAUUCUUACUUUCUUUUUAAUAUCUGACAGCACUUGGGAAUAAAUUCUGUCAAUUCUUACUUUCUUUUUAAUAUCUGACAGCUCUUAUGAAGAAAUUCUGUGGCUUUGAUACACAUCACUUAUGAAGAAGUUAUGUUCAUUUGUACUUCUCUACUUAGUAUUGCAUAUCACUUAUGAAGAAUAAUUCAAUUACAAAAUUACAGCUAAAUAACUCCUUUUUCUCAAGGUUUAGAAAAAAUAAAAUAGAACAGAUGACACAAACACUGUUAGCAAUAUAUAGGCCUAUAUAUUUUCUAGUCCAGUUUCUACAAACUCAUUUCAAGCUGCAAAAGAACAUUAAGUCUGUAAGAGUCACAGUAUUGGGUCUAACAGGAUUGUGUCUAGUUCUCUCUCUCUCCUCUCUUUACCAAUAAUGGUGAGUGUUUACAAAUGAAGCUUUAUGUUAUUUUUCUUUUUAUAUUUUUCUCAGGAGUUUUUAAAAGAAUUGCGACUUCAAGGGAACUCACUGGAAUUAUAUUAGCAAGAUCCUUACUUGGCACCUUCAGGGAUACUUACUACCAAAGAAAAUGAUGGAGUCAGACAUGUAGAGCAAGAGCUUCAACUACAGUCUUUGUGUAGUGAAGACAUAUACAAGUAAAGACAAGAAGAAUAUUUAUGGAAGAAUACAAUAAUAGAACAUCUUUUAAUUCACCAUAUUGUAGUCAUGUUUGUUUUGCUCAAGAAAUUCCACAACCAGAAUGCAGAAAUGAGUGAUAAUUCUAGUUUGCCUAUUUCAGACUAUUUAUUUGUCCAGUAAAAUAAUUAAAUUAUUAUUUGAAUCUAUAAUUUUUGUUUUACCAUGUUUAGACACAAUGUCUUUUUCAUAACCCAUUUUCUGGGUUGUAGCUUCAAUUUUUAGUAUGUUGUGCCACUGUCUUUAAACUAAUGUAGUUCAUCUCUUCAUAGUGCAUUUGCUUAAAACUCUGAAUAAAAUUUUACAUUAAAAUAAAAUGAUCAUUUAGAAGCUACCUUCAUGAUGCCAAGUCUGAGAGUUGAGUGUAAUUAUGUGAAUACAUUGAAAUGUUAACAAAAUAGAUGACGUAACUCCCUAAGAAAUAUUUUUUUUAAUGUUCACAAAAUAAUGGAUUUGUAGAUUUAAAACAUUUAUAAUAACUGUAAUUAUUUCUUACAUGAUGAAUUUAUUGAAUAGAAAAAGAUUUUUUCCUUAGUUCUCAUUGAUAUCUUUGUCCCCAGUCACCCUUCACAAUGCUAGCUCAUUACUGAAGUCAUUUGGCUCAAACAUGGAUAGACACAUGCAUAUAUUCAUGUGGAUCUAUAGCCAUUAUUUAUUUAACGGGGUUAUGUUGGAAUUUAUAUCCAUUUCCUGGACAAAAUAGAUGUAGCAAUGCUUAAAUCAAGUCCAUUUAUGUUUUAAAUUAUUUUAUUUGUGUUUUUAUUUCUCUAUAACUACAACAUGUGAUCUAAUCAAUCUAUAAUAUUUUGUUUUUCAAUCUUCAUUUUAUCACACAAAAAAAGGCUGUGCUUACUUGUGAAAAGAAAAAUAUUAAGACAAUUGUUAUCAAAUUAUUUCACUAGUGAUUCAGAAAGUCAAUCAUGAGUGUUAGUGACUGAUUUUGUCUUUUUUUUUUUUACAUUAAAAUACAUUAGAAUGUCUUUUAUCUAUGGUGAAUUAUAUAGAAUUCUCUUGAAUUAAACCAAGUAUAAUUGCUGAAUACAUAGUGGGUUUUUGAUUUUCUUGUUAAGAACAAACUUUGUUGUUGAUAGUUUCUUGAAAUAAUUUCAAAUAACUUGGCUUGUUAUUGGUGGAUCUUUAUUAGUUUAUGAUAUCAAUGUUUAUUAAUAAAAUAUAAAAUAUUGAUAAACUAGCUCAGUUUGAAUGAGGUGAAGGCUCAGGGAGGGAAAAACAAUUUCAAUGGGAACUUCUCUACUAAAUUAUAAGAAAAGUUUGAAUACAAAUUAGUACAUGUACUGAAGAGUGGAGGCCACUGUAAAUGGCAUGAACAUUUUCUGAUGAAUGAAUUCAAUCAGGGGCAAUAAGGAGAGUGUUUAUUAUCUGAUAAAAAUAAUAAUUGAAAAUAGCUUUACAAGCUCUCAAAUUGAAUUGAUUUUAUUGAAAAUCCUUGUAAAUAGUAACUAAAUUGUGCAUGACUUACUGACCUUCCCAGUGUGGCUAACAAACCACACUGUCAAAACCCUGUGGUAAAAAAAAGUUAGGUCUUGAUUCCACUUGUGUACAUGUUCCAUCAAGUCAUUUGGUCUACAUUUCUCUACUUUAAGAAUUUAAUUUUUUAUUUUAAACCUAAGUAGAUUUAUCUCUUAUACCGGUAUAAGUAGUAGCAGUAUAUACUGAUAAAAAUGAUAUGAAAUAUGAAUUACACUAGAUGCAUUGGUAUUAGAUUAAAAACAUAAUAUGUGCUGUUCCUUGUAUAAUAUACAAAAGAUUAUUUGAAGUGUUUCAAACUUGUCACUGCAAACAAAUUAGACUUGAAUGAAAACAUAAGCAAUAAGACAACUCAGACUACUUGAUCAUUUUAAGACAAUCAAAGUUGUUUUUUUUUCUUAACUCUUUUUGCCUUUGUUACAUUUAGAAAAACCUUUGGAUCAUUUGUUCAAGUUUUAUUAUUUGUGAACUCAUCCAUUUCUACAUUUACUAAUAACCAUAUCUUUAUUGUAACAUUUAUAGAUCAUUUCAAAGUUGUGAUAGCAAACCAAAGCUCAUUUAUUUAAAUCAUUGUACAUAUGUUAUUGUAGAGUGGAGUGGUUUAUUUUGUGGAUGAAUAAUACAUUGGCUCAUUGAUAUUUAAUUUGUAUUACUAUAUUCUGUGCUCUUUGUGCUACAAUACAAUUUUUAUUUUAGGUUUUGUUUAAUUGUUUCAUACUUGGGACUAUGCUUUCUUUAAUUUCAUCAAAACAUAAUUAAUCUUUUUCUUUUUAUGCAGAACUUCAAAAUGUUUUUACACAUUGAAUAAUUUUCUAUCUAAAUGGUUAAAAAAAGAUUUGUCUGAUUUAUCUAGUCCUUUGAACACUGGUGACAUUGAGAUUCCAUUCUGAUUGUCUGUCUACUGAAAAGAUACCAGAUCAUUAGAAGAAAAUAUUUUAAUUCAAACAACCUUAAAACACUGUUUGACAGCGUAGAUCCUGAGAAAGUACUGAGUUUUACUCCUGGGAAGUAGUACUGACUGAUAAAAUUGAAGAAAGUUUAUUUUGGACACACAAUAGAUUCUUAUUAACAAAAAAUUUUAAUAGAUGAAUUAUCUACUUAUUUUAACACUUACAAAUUAACUAUAGAUUUUAAUGUUCCAACUGUACGUGUUGAAUAGAGGAGUAGGUCUUAGAAGGACUAAGGGCAGGACAUACCGCUAGCCUAAAUUGUGCCGAGGUGCCAUAAAAUCUAAAUCUGAUUGUCUGUCACCAGUAGCAGUCAUCUAUAUCUUACUUUAAUGUAUAAAGUUUUGGAUUUUUUUUGUCUCCAUGUAAGUUUUUGGUUCUUUUGAUCGUGUUUCUAAAAUGGUACCUUAAAUAUAAUUAGUAUUAAAAUAUUUCAUUGUUAUUUCUAUUCAGUUUUAGCUUGCCCUCAAUAUAAUAAGGUGAACAUUGUUAACAUGGUCUUUUUUCAGUGACUAAAGCAUAGCAGUAGAAGUUAAGAUGAACUAGAAUUCAUUGUAUGUUAAACUUUGUUACAAUUUUUUUUCUUAGCAUUUUUCAAUAUGUGCCAAUGUUUUAUAAUAGAAAUAUGUCUAGGUAAAAAUUUGGUUGUGAAACAUGUUUAGUUACAUAAGAGCUUUGAUCUCUCAUUUUGGCUACAUAAUGCACAGUUACAUUUGAGGCUUUCAUUUUGUAAUUGUUAAUAUUUCAUACGCUAGGUGUUUACUUGUAGCUAAAUUGAACUAGUUAACUAGGUUAAAGUAAAGUAAGUACACUUCAGACCUUGUGCUCUAUAGGGAAGAGGACAUAAAGGACAUCUUUUUCUGUGGCCUUUCCUUUCUUACUGUCAGGUGCCCAUCAGAAUUAGGUGGACUUCAUUCCCACUCCCAGUGUUCACAGAAUUGUGAACCUGAGACCACUUGGUUCAGAAGCCAAACACUUCACCACUCAGCCACCAUGUCCCAUUUUAUCAUUUUAAAUAAACUGAGGGAAUUAAUUCAUCCUGUUGCAUAACAUAUAGUGAUAUGUGUCUUCAACUGAAUUGUGAUGACAUACAAGUGUGAUAUAGUUACACUAUGUAAAGAGGAAAAGAAAACACCAUCAGAAGCAGAAGAGUCAAAUUAUUUAAUUUAAUAAUAGAACCUUAAUCUAAUAAUAUGUUUCUAACAGUGCAUUGCAUUGACUCUCCUGUUAUAAAAGUUUUUUGAGGCAAAAACUAAACUUUUCACUUGAGAACUAGACUAAGUAGAGUUAACAUUAAACAAUAGUAUAGUUAUAAUCCUCAAAUAUCAGGUCAGGUACACACUGCAUUUUGGGUAAAAAUAAUAUUUAUUGGCAAGUGUUUGAUUCCAUCUUAAGAAUCAACAAUAAUGUUCAUUUAGGCAAAUAAAUAGGUGAAAUGUGAAUUUGGUCAAGCUGUGAGACAUGAUUCAUUGGCCAAAAUCUUCUUGAUGUGAAAAAAAGAUCUGGUUGGACUUAUUUACUGAUACUCUCAAAAUAGGUCUGUUUCUUGAUGCUCUUAAGAUAGGCCAGUUUCUAGAGCCACUCAAUAGUAUGAAUGUUAAUAGGGAAAGACACAAAGAUAAAGGCACAUCUCAUUUUCCAUAUGCUAGACCAAAUUUGUAUAAAUACUGAAUCAGCCAAGGAAACCAACGACUUGGCAGAGUUUAAGUCAUUGAAUAUGCAGUGACCCAGGGACACACAUAGGACGUAAAUAUUUUCUUUUUUGAGGUAACAUUUGUAUUUUAUAAGAUAAGCUAUAAUUAUAUGCACCCCCUUGUACAAGUUGAAGGGUCAUGUGAAGAAAUGAACUUUGCAGUAUUUUUGUAACAAAAAUUAUUUCAACCAAAUUGUUCUUACUAGUAAGCAUCUACCACAUUGACAUUGUCAACUAAUUAACUAAAUAUUAUUCAACAAGUGUUUUAAAUAGAUGAAUUGUACAGACAAGAUUUGUACUCUCAAGUAUUAGAUCAAUGAGUUAUCAUGUCAAGUGAUUUUUUUUUUAAUAUCUUGUUUUUUAGUUUAAUUUUUUUUUAAAUUAAUAAAAUCACAAAUUACUGGGUAUUUUAUGUAAGUUAAAGGAAACUGCUGUGCCUUUGUGUCUAUAACUUAAUGAUAGUGUCAAGUUAGUGAAGUAUCUCUAUCCUUUACCAUGAGUCAUGGCAGAUACAAAACGAUGACUGAUGAAGGAUUCAUGUAAGCAAUCACUAAGAGUUGUUUAGUUUUGUAUUGUUAGUGUAUCACUUAUAAACUUGACAUCAAUGGUUUAAUCAUCCUACAUUUGAUAACUAUUUCACAAAUGUGUCUCUUUGUAAGGACCUGCUGAUGUUUUCACAGUUGAAAUGUUCAUUACUUUUUUUUGUUUACAUUUAUGUGACAAAGGUUUACAAAAACUUGACUAAUUUUUUGUAUGAAAUGAAACAAACAUAACUGAAUGAAAGUAAAAAAUAAAUGCAAACAUUUGUUGCAAAAAAUAAAAGCUAUUGUUACAAUUGUAAAAGAUGUAGCAUAAAAAGCAGUAAAGCCUGAAAACAAAUGUUUGAUAAACUGACACUAGUGCAACAUCAAUUAGGGACUUCUCUAAUUAAUCAUUCAUAAGAAAAAUGCUGGGAAACAAUUGAUUGCCAAAGAACUUUGUCUUCUUCAUUGUGAAUCUGUCCUGAAUGUAAUCACCUGAAAGUUGCUGUAGUGCUAGUCAAACUCACUGUUUCUUGUCUGCAAGAACACAAACAUUCAGCUAAUAUUAGUCUUAUCUACCAUUCUUAGCUCUGCCUUAUUAUGGGUGUUAUGCAUUCUUGUGUUGCUUUAAGUUACAUUGUAUUUUCUUUACAUGUGUAUACGUGUUACCAAAAUGAAACUUGUCAAACAUGAUAGAAGACAAAAGUGCUUGUGAAAUAGAAGACUGCUUUGUAUUUUGUUUGUAAGAUCUAGUCAUUGGUUCAGGUUUCAACUCAUCUGCUUUGUUUACUAACCAUUUAGUGAGGUCUGUGUUUCAAAUAUAUGCUUUGUUUACUAACCCCUUAGUGAGGUCUGUGUUUCAAAUAUAUGCUUUGUUUACUAACCAUUUAGUGAGGUCUGUGUUUCAAAUAUAUGCUUUGUUUACUAACCCCUUAGUGAGGUCUGUGUUUCAAAUAUAUGCUUUGUUUACUAACCCCUUAGUGAGGUCUGUGUUUCAAAUAUAUGCUUUGUUUACUAACCCCUUAGUGAGGUCUGUGUUUCAAAUAUAUGCUUUGUUUACUAACCCCUUAGUGAGGUCUGUGUUUCAAAUAUAUGCUUUGUUUACUAACCAUUUAGUGAGGUCUGUGUUUCAAAUAUAUGCUUUGUUUACUAACCCCUUAGUGAGGUCUGUGUUUCAAAUAUAUGCUUUGUUUACUAACCAUUUAGUGAGGUCUGUGUUUCAAAUAUAUGCUUUGUUUACUAACCAUUUAGUGAGGUCUGUGUUUCAAAUAUAUGCUUUGUUUACUAACCAUUUAGUGAGGUCUGUGUUUCAAAUAUAUGCUUUGUUUACUAACCAUUUAGUGAGGUCUGUGUUUCAACUCAUUCAAAUAUUUGCUCUGUUUACCCCCCCCCCCUUCCCCACCAUAUGAAUGUAUUGUGUGAUGCUGCUGCAUUUGUACAUUAUGCAAUUUUAUUUAAGGUACAUUUACACAACUUGAUAUGCCCAUCUUCAUAAUAGCUUGCUGGUAAUGAACAUAGCUGGCUAGAAGCUGAGUUUAGGCAGAAAAAAAUUCCUUUGAACUUUUCAUUGCUAUUAACAUGCACAAACUGUAAGCGUUAUAUUAUUUGUAAGAAAUUAUUUUGAAGAUAUAUGGAGUUGUUUUUUCAACUUACACUUUGGUUAUUGAUCCUAUAAACACCAUCAAAAUAUUGGAUGUUUUCAAUUCUAAUUAAUGACGAAAGUUUGGCUGCACACAUUUGAAGAUUGUGGAUAUGUCUAAGUUACAUAUUGCUUGAAGAAAACACUUAGAACUCAAUAUUUAAUUUUUCUUUUUGCUGACUUCUUUGUGGAUUACUUUGACCAAUGUGUCUUUGUGUUUCUUUGUGUGUAUGAUAGGGGUGUUCCUAUUAGCAUAUAUAUUGGUCAGUUUGUGUGUGUAUGUUAGGGGUGUUCCUAUUUGCAUAUAUAUUGGUCAGUUUGUGUGUGUAAUGUAGCAACCAAAACAUUUAUGUUUCUUUUGGAAGUGCCAAGAGAAAUAUUUAUUUACUAGUUGUUCCCAAGUUUCUGUUUACAACUCAAAGCUUCUCCUGUUUGGUACUCAAAAUGAAAUAGAAAUGUCUUACAGCUAUUGAUUGACUCUUUCACCCAGAAGACACUGAAGACACUAUCAUUGUUUGCAGUUGAAAUGUUCAACAUUUAAUAAACACACACACAGAGGCCAGUGCACAAUGUUAGCUCCACCAUUGAUUUAGUCUGUUAUACUAGCACUAGAACAUUUCUAUAAGCACAUCCUGACUAGGACUAUAUCUUAUAACUACUUUCUAUAAAAAUAAUUAGAAUCAAGUGUUUUUUUUUUUGUGAAGUUGUAGAUUAAAUUGCACAUUUUAAUAUAAAUAUGACAAUAAUAUGUCUAAUUUAUUAAAUAAUUUUCUGUGUAUUAAGACCAUGAAUUUAUUUCUUAAAAUAAGUUGUAAUUGACAAGGUUAUUUAUGCUAUCAAUGUCUGUAUAUUCACUAGAUGCAUAUAAAUAAUGAAUGUUGUCAUAGCAGCAGCUAACUUAAUUAAUCAUACUAGAUGGGCCCACACAUGACAACUAACCUAAUUAAGUAUACUUGAUGGGGCCCCACAUGACAGCAAACGUAAUAAUGUAUAUUGGAUGGGCCCACACAUGACAUCUAACCUAAUUAAGUAUACUGGAUGGGCCCCCUAUGACAGCUAACCUAAUUAAGUAUACUUGAUGGGGCCCCACAUGGCCUAUUUAUGGGAAAAUAGCACCCAUGUUGUCCUUCAUUACCAGACAUUCCCCCUAAGUUUGACCAAAGCUAUUUAUCAAGCAGCUCAGUUUGUAUUGUAGUGUCUUGUUUGUUAUCAUCAAUGAAAAACCAACAUGAGUCAAGACUUGAUUGUGUAGUCAAUAAUGAAUUCAAACAGAAGUUUUACUUGGAUCUAUUUGUCGCUUAGUCUUAGUCCAUCAUCACUCUCUGCUGUAUAGUACUGCCUUGAUGUCGUAAUCAGUUUGCUAAUACUUAGACUCUGGUUGUCUUGUCACUUUGUAGUCUGUAUUUCAACAUGACUUCAUUGAACUGUUUUUAUGAUCAAUACAAUUUUGAUAUAUC